CGAGAGGUCUGGGCGACCACCGCGGACGCGUGGGCAACCGCGCGGCCGGGGAGGAAAGUCCGGGCUCCACGGGUCAGGGUGGUUGCCAACGGCAACCGGCCGCGAGGCCAGGGAAAGUGCCACAGAAAACAAACCGCCUCGCGGGUCACACCGCGCGGUAAGGGUGAAACGGUGCGGUAAGAGCGCACCGCGAGCUCGGUGACGAGCUCGGCAGGGCAAACCCCACCCGGAGAAAGAUCAAAUAGGGAGGGCGCAUGGCGACGACCCGCGUCGAGGCCUUCCGGGUAGAUCGUUGGAGGCCGGGCGCGAGCCCGGCCCUAGAGAAAUGGCCGCCGCCCCCUUCAUCGGGGGAGACAGAACCCGGCUUACAGGGCCUCUCG
Molecule: RNase P RNA, 380 nt
Filed under: Planctomycetota bacterium
Lineage: Bacteria; Pseudomonadati; Planctomycetota
Description: RNase P RNA component class A
Rfam family: Bacterial RNase P class A
About the family: Ribonuclease P (RNase P) is a ubiquitous endoribonuclease, found in archaea, bacteria and eukarya as well as chloroplasts and mitochondria. Its best characterised activity is the generation of mature 5'-ends of tRNAs by cleaving the 5'-leader elements of precursor-tRNAs.
Source: RNAcentral